GAUGAACGCUGGCGGCGUGCCUAAUACAUGCAAGUCGAGCGAACAGACGAGGAGCUUGCUCCUCUGACGUUAGCGGCGGACGGGUGAGUAACACGUGGAUAACCUACCUAUAAGACUGGGAUAACUUCGGGAAACCGGAGCUAAUACCGGAUAACAUGUUGAACCGCAUGGUUCAACAGUGAAAGACGGUCUUGCUGUCACUUAUAGAUGGAUCCGCGCCGCAUUAGCUAGUUGGUAAGGUAACGGCUUACCAAGGCAACGAUGCGUAGCCGACCUGAGAGGGUGAUCAGCCACACUGGAACUGAGACACGGUCCAGACUCCUACGGGAGGCAGCAGUAGGGAAUCUUCCGCAAUGGGCGAAAGCCUGACGGAGCAACGCCGCGUGAGUGAAGAAGGUCUUCGGAUCGUAAAACUCUGUUAUUAGGGAAGAACAAAUGUGUAAGUAACUAUGCCCGUCUUGACGGUACCUAAUCAGAAAGCCACGGCUAACUACGUG
RNAcentral lists this ribosomal RNA (497 nucleotides) under uncultured bacterium. RNAcentral's name for it is "partial 16S ribosomal RNA". It matches the Rfam family "Bacterial small subunit ribosomal RNA", at positions 28 to 507 of the family's 1533-position model. The record is from RNAcentral.